The sequence is a non-coding RNA, 262 nucleotides long. It matches the Rfam family "Bacterial large signal recognition particle RNA". From Rfam's summary of the family: The signal recognition particle (SRP) is a universally conserved ribonucleoprotein involved in the co-translational targeting of proteins to membranes. Archaeal SRP consists of a 7S RNA and homologues of the eukaryotic SRP19 and SRP54 proteins. In most bacteria, the SRP consists of a 4.5S RNA and the Ffh protein (a homologue of the eukaryotic SRP54 protein). The record is from Rfam.
UCGUGCAGCCGGGGUGUUAGCGGUACCUUGUACCUGCAAUCCGCUAUAGCAGGGGUGAUAUUGUGCAGAGGGCGACAGCCGGCAGAGCUGCCUUAGGUAAGUGGCGUUGAUGUUUGGGUCUUACGCGACGGGAAUCUGUGAAUCGUGUCAGGUCGGGAACGGAGCAGCACUAAGCAGAACCUUCCGGGUGCCGUAAGGGCGCCUGAACUGAGUUAACUGCCUAAGUAACGUCUGUUAGCCUAGCUCGAAGCACAAUGCACGA